CCUACGGGAGGCAGCAGUAGGGAAUCUUCCACAAUGGGCGAAAGCCUGAUGCAGCAACGCCGCGUGGGUGAAGAAGGUCUUCGGAUCGUAAAACCCUGUUGUUAGAGAAGAAAGUGCGUGAGAGUAACUGUUCACGUUUCGACGGUAUCUAACCAGAAAGCCACGGCUAACUACGUGCCAGCAGCCGCGGUAAUACGUAGGUGGCAAGCGUUAUCCGGAUUUAUUGGGCGUAAAGGGAACGCAGGCGGUCUUUUAAGUCUGAUGUGAAAGCCUUCGGCUUAACCGGGGUAGUGCAUUGGAAACUGGGAGACUUGAGUGCAGAAGAGGAGAGUGGAACUCCAUGUGUAGCGGUGAAAUGCGUAGAUAUCUGGAAGAACACCAGUGGCGAAGGCGGCUCUCUGGUCUGUAACUGACGCUGAGGUUCGAAAGCGUGGGUAGCAAACAGGAUUAGAUACCCGUGUAGUC
This 465-nucleotide ribosomal RNA is filed under the name uncultured bacterium. RNAcentral describes it as "partial 16S ribosomal RNA". It matches the Rfam family "Bacterial small subunit ribosomal RNA", at positions 338 to 795 of the family's 1533-position model. The record is from RNAcentral.